This 440-nucleotide ribosomal RNA is filed under the name uncultured bacterium. RNAcentral's name for it is "partial 16S ribosomal RNA". It matches the Rfam family "Bacterial small subunit ribosomal RNA", at positions 338 to 795 of the family's 1533-position model. The record is from RNAcentral.
CCUACGGGUGGCAGCAGUGGGGAAUAUUGCACAAUGGGGGAAACCCUGAUGCAGCGACGCCGCGUGAGCGAUGAAGUAUUUCGGUAUGUAAAGCUCUAUCAGCAGGGAAGAAAAUGACGGUACCUGACUAAGACGCCCCGGCUAACUACGUGCCAGCAGCCGCGGUACUACGUAGGGGGCAAGCGUUAUCCGGAUUUACUGGGUGUAAAGGGAGCGUAGACGGCGAUGCAAGUCUGAAGUGAAAGGCGGGGGCCCAACCCCCGGACUGCUUUGGAAACUGUAUGGCUGGAGUGCAGGAGAGGUAAGUGGAAUUCCUAGUGUAGCGGUGAAAUGCGUAGAUAUUAGGAGGAACACCAGUGGCGAAGGCGGCUUACUGGACUGUAACUGACGUUGAGGCUCGAAAGCGUGGGGAGCAAACAGGAUUAGAUACCCCUGUAGUC